RNAcentral lists this ribosomal RNA (482 nucleotides) under uncultured bacterium. RNAcentral describes it as "partial 16S ribosomal RNA". It matches the Rfam family "Bacterial small subunit ribosomal RNA", at positions 28 to 507 of the family's 1533-position model. The record is from RNAcentral.
GACGAACGCUGGCGGCGUGCCUAACACAUGCAAGUCGAACGGAACUGUUUUGAAAGAUUUCUUCGGAAUGAAUUUGAUUUAGUUUAGUGGCGGACGGGUGAGUAACGCGUGAGUAACCUGCCUUCAAGAGGGGAAUAACAUUCUGAAAAGAAUGCUAAUACCGCAUUACAUAUCGGAACCACAUGGUUUUGAUAUCAAAGAUUUUAUCGCUUGAAGAUGGACUCGCGUCCGAUUAGUUAGUUGGUGAGGUAACGGCUCACCAAGACCGCGAUCGGUAGCCGGACUGAGAGGUUGAACGGCCACAUUGGGACUGAGACACGGCCCAGACUCCUACGGGAGGCAGCAGUGGGGGAUAUUGCGCAAUGGGGGCAACCCUGACGCAGCAACGCCGCGUGAAGGAUGAAGGUUUUCGGAUUGUAAACUUCUUUUAUUAAGGACGAAAAAUGACGGUACUUAAUGAAUAAGCUCCGGCUAACUACGUG